UCGUCCAGAUCUGGUGUAUUUUGAGACUAACCCGAAUGACAAGGACGGGAGUAGCCCUUACAACAAGAUCUGGAUUGUCGAAAUCAGCGUGGUGUGGCAUUCCCGCAUAGUUGAGGCGGAACUUGAAAAACGCCAAAAGUAUGCAGUGAAUUCCAUCGAAGGGGGAAGCAGACCGGAUGAGAACUUGAUGAAUAUCUUACAAAGGUCAUACCGAUGUAAGGUCAUCAUGGUUCCCAUCAUAGUAGGUGUCUUUGGUGAGGCCGGGGAAUCGUUGAUUGAAAACCUUCGAUUGCUUGAACUCUCAGCAAACGACACCGAAGCUUUGGUCGAAAGGUUGCAGAGGAGCUCUGUACUGGGCACACAUGCCGUAAUCAGCGCUCAUCUUGCAAACUCCCCUGUCUGAGUGUCCUGAAGGUCGCUUGCUGGACGAGCGACUGAGAUCUCGAUCCCUACUGGGAACCCCCUAUGGGAACAGAACCAGAGAAGGGUCGGGAGAGGGGGCGGCGGUGACGCCGUCUGGAACAAUAAACACAGGGACGCGCACCCGGAUGACGCGUAUAAACACUUGAACGCGUGGUGCAUGCCUUUUCGAGGUAACCGGGAUAACUAGGUUCCUUGCUACUCUGGAGCCGAAACUAAACAGCACCUAGACGGUGGUGGCCUGGCAGAGCCACCGCUUGUCGAAAAGCAAAUCUGUGCCGAGUCCUGCUGUAUUCUACCACCCUCGCGACCAUAGUGCUUGGGUUAACUAUUUGUUUGGGGGCUUUUCCUUGCCAUUGACUGGCCGGCAGUCCUUGGUGUUUUGGAUGCAGUAGGUACUCAAGCGAGUGAGCCCUAGCACUCGUCAAAAAGGGUCUUUAUGGCCCGAACAACGGCCGAAGCGGACUGGCUAGACUGGCUGUCUGCGCACCGUCACAAAUAUGUGCUAGACUGGCACUCAUCAUGUGACAUGGCUGGUGAGUUCCCCUACGAGGGAACGGGAACUAGGCGGGCGUGUGUCGGAGGUCCACUUGGGUUCGUGGACAACAAUGUGAAGACUGGGGUAGCGAAUUUGCUCAAAUUGAGUCCCGUGAAGCCCCCGUACACAAGGUGGGGGAUAACUAGAUUGCCGGAGCGGAAGGUGUGAUUGCGAGUUCUUGGUCCUACUGGCGGCAAGUGCCGCGGUGCCUUGCUGCUGACUGCUGGCGACUCUCACGCUCAACGCCUGGGCAGGAAGCGACAAUGAUGCAGCGCUUAAGCGAGUCUGGAUAGAGGACAAGCACUCACCCUUCUUAACCAGCAUGAAGGUAGUCCCUGCGCUUAGUACAGGUGAAGUUCGCAAUUGAAACCCCAGUCUAACUUGUAGUCUCCGAGGACUGACGGUACACGUCUAACUAUUGUUAGUUGAUCAUGUGCUUAUUGAUCACUAUUGUGUUUAACUUGAGGAAAUAAGAGUGAUCUGGGCUGUUGGUCAUGCUCCGAAGACCAUAAGGCUCAGGGAACUCGGGUGAACGGGGUAGCGGCAUAAGUAUGUGAAGCGGCCACACCCUGUGAGCCUUGCCUUGAAGUGGCUUGGUGAACAUGGCAGCGACGAGGGGAACGUCGUAGCCAAGUGAACCGAGCCAAGGAUUAUUUUCUCUUGUGGUGCACAAGCCUGAUGGAUACACCGUACAAACCGUUUAAAAGAGGUGUAUCCUCCUUAGGUCUGUGGUUUAUGUGGUGCAUGUAUCGAACAGUAGGCAGAGGAAUCGCAGGAUUGCUACUUUCCGUGUGAUGACUCUUAGGGUUCCAACCCUCCGGGUGCUGGUCCGCCCGGAGGCUUUCGUGUAGAAGGGAGCAGUGCGGCAUGGAUCUCAAAUGCUUCGGGAAGAGACUAGCGCAUUGCACACUGGCGGCCAUAAUGCCAGUGUCAAAAAGGUCCUGUGGAGGCGGGUUCGCAUUACCUGCUAAAGAUACAGACCAGCCGUUACUAUGGGGAGCGUCGGUAACGGGCUCUUCGAGAGUAACGGGACGCGCACGAAUGGAUCAACGAGAUUCCCACUGUCCCUAUCUACUAUCUAGCGAAACCACAGCCAAGGGAACGGGCUUGGCAAAUUUAGCGGGGAAAGAAGACCCUGUUGAGCUUGACUCUAGUCUGACUUUGUGAAGAAUCAUGAGAGGUGUAGCAUAAGUGGGAGCCGCAAGGCGCCAGUGAAAUACCACUACUUUCAUCGAUUCCUUACUUAAUCGGUAAAACGGGAGUGCGCCCGCAUGGGUGUCCAUUUUGGUGUUAAGGCGGGCCACCCGGUGGCCCGUCGACCCGCGCCGAUGACAGUGUCAGGCGGGGAGUUUGACUGGGGCGGUACAUCUGUCAAAGCGUAACGCAGGUGUCCUAAGGCGAGCUCAGAGAGGACGGAAACCUCUCGUGGAGCAAAAAGGCAAAUGCUUACUUGAUCCUGAUUUUCAGUACGAAUACGGACCGCGAAAGCGUGGCUUAUCGAUCCUUUUGAAUUGUAAAGUUUCCAGCAAGAGGUGUCAGAAAAGUUACCACAGGGAUAACUGGCUUGUGGCGGCCAAGCGUCCAUAGCGACGUCGCUUUUUGAUCCUUCGAUGUCGGCUCUUCCUAUCAUUGCGAAGCAGAAUUCGCCAAGCGUUGGAUUGUUCACCCACCAAUAGGGAACGUGAGCUGGGUUUAGACCGUCGUGAGACAGGUUAGUUUUACCCUACUAAAGACCGGUUGCUAUGAUAGUAAUCCUGCUUAGUACGAGAGGAACCGCAGGUUCAGACAUUUGGUUCAUGUGCUUGGUCGAUAGACCAAUGGUGCGAAGCUACCAUCUGAGGGAUUAUGACUGAACGCCUCUAAGUCAGAAUCCCGCCUAGGCAAGAUAGCAAUACCAUUGCUCCCCGGUGUCGGGAGGCACUCUGUAUGCCCUCUUCUCUGAGGUGCAGCCCAAAUGCCCCAGCAUCUGGCCCGAUGCGAGCGCUUAGUUGUGCUCGCAUUGCCAUAGCCGUAGCACUCGUGUGCCAUGGUGGAACGUCGGGGCGCAAAAUCACUUGUAUACGACUUGACUACUGGUCAGGGGGUUGUUAGCAGUAGAGCAGCUUUUAUACUGCGAUCUGUUGAGACUUAGCCCUUGAUCGGAUGAUUUGUCUUCCUU
RNAcentral lists this ribosomal RNA (3116 nucleotides) under Rotylenchulus reniformis. Its description in RNAcentral is "eukaryotic LSU rRNA". The stretch from base 1707 to 3107 matches the Rfam family "Eukaryotic large subunit ribosomal RNA", at positions 1890 to 3399 of the family's 3401-position model. The record is from RNAcentral. Lineage: Eukaryota; Metazoa; Nematoda; Chromadorea; Rhabditida; Hoplolaimidae.